RNAcentral lists this unclassified non-coding RNA (58 nucleotides) under Leptotrichia shahii. RNAcentral describes it as "RNA (58-MER) from Leptotrichia shahii (PDB 5WTK, chain B)". The record is from RNAcentral. Lineage: Bacteria; Fusobacteriati; Fusobacteriota; Fusobacteriia; Fusobacteriales; Leptotrichiaceae.
GGCCACCCCAAUAUCGAAGGGGACUAAAACGACAAAUCUAUCUGAAUAAACUCUUCUU